ACGGGAGGGAGCAGUGGGGAAUAUUGGACAAUGGGCGAAAGCCUGAUCCAGCGACGCCGCGUGAGUGAAGAAGUAUUUCGGUAUGUAAAGCUCUAUCAGCAGGGAAGAUAGUGAAGGUACCUGACUAAGAAGCCCCGGCUAACUACGUGCCAGCAGCCGCGGUAAUACGUAGGGGGCAAGCGUUAUCCGGAUUUACUGGGUGUAAAGGGAGCGUAGACGGUAUGGCAAGUCUGAUGUGAAAACCCAGGGCUCAACCCUGGGACUGCAUUGGAAACUGUCAAACUAGAGUGCAGGAGAGGUAAGUGGAAUUCCUAGUGUAGCGGUGAAAUGCGUAGAUAUUAGGAGGAACACCAGUGGCGAAGGCGGCUUACUGGACUGUAACUGACGUUGAGGCUCGAAAGCGUGGGGAGCAAACAGGAUUAGAUACCCUGGUA
RNAcentral lists this ribosomal RNA (434 nucleotides) under uncultured Lachnospiraceae bacterium. Its description in RNAcentral is "partial 16S ribosomal RNA". It matches the Rfam family "Bacterial small subunit ribosomal RNA", at positions 341 to 792 of the family's 1533-position model. The record is from RNAcentral. Lineage: Bacteria; Bacillati; Bacillota; Clostridia; Lachnospirales; Lachnospiraceae.